Molecule: ribosomal RNA, 216 nt
Filed under: Glomeromycotina sp.
Lineage: Eukaryota; Fungi; Glomeromycota
Description: partial small subunit ribosomal RNA
Rfam family: Eukaryotic small subunit ribosomal RNA (bases 40-216)
Source: RNAcentral
GGGUCAGUAGGUUGGUCGUGCCACCGGUACGUACUGGUCUCACUGAUUCCUCCUUCCUGAAGAACCGUAAUGCCAUUAAUUUGGUGUUGCGGGGAAACAGGACUGUUACUUUGAAAAAAUUAGAGUGUUUAAAGCAAGCUAACGCUUGAGUACAUUAGCAUGGAAUAAUGGAAUAGGACGAUCGAUCCUAUUUUGUUGGUUUCUAGGAUUGACGUA